GAGUAGGAAUGUAAACCGGCGUAGGGACGUAAACCGGGGUUUCCGGUGUAGAGACGUAACCCGGGGCUUUCGGUGUAGGGAAGUAACCCGGGGCUUCCGGUACGUAAACCGGGACUACCGGUGUAGGGACGUAAACCGGGACUUCCGGUGUAGGGACGUAGAUCGGGGAAGCAGGUGUGGUUGUGUAAAUUGUAUUCGCUGGAGUGAUGGGAUUGGGAACGAUAAU
RNAcentral lists this long non-coding RNA (226 nucleotides) under Zostera marina. Its description in RNAcentral is "long non-coding RNA (ZMAR_LNC006145)". The record is from RNAcentral. Lineage: Eukaryota; Viridiplantae; Streptophyta; Magnoliopsida; Alismatales; Zosteraceae.